RNAcentral lists this unclassified non-coding RNA (240 nucleotides) under soil metagenome. RNAcentral describes it as "partial contains 5.8S ribosomal RNA, internal transcribed spacer 2, and large subunit ribosomal RNA". The record is from RNAcentral.
AACAAGGCGUACCUGCGGACCUGCGGAGGGAUCAUUAACAAUUAUCCAUUUUCCUUUGCAAUAUGGAUGGUUCAAAUCCAUAUCCACCUUCGUGUGCACUUCAUUGACAUGUUUGCUUUGGCAGUUUGCGGGAGAGAAGAGCGAUCCUUCGAUCGUUUUCUCCGUGGAUGGGGAAAAGGGAUGAAAAAAGUCAUUCUUUUCCCCCCUCCGGCGCUGCCAGAGUUUUUUUUGUUCCUUUCG